This 1142-nucleotide long non-coding RNA is filed under the name Homo sapiens (human). RNAcentral describes it as "non-protein coding lnc-ABCE1-2:1". Lineage: Eukaryota; Metazoa; Chordata; Mammalia; Primates; Hominidae. The record is from RNAcentral.
AAUAAUCUUAUCUGUAAAUUUACAACAGAAUGAAAUGAUAGGAGAGAAUGUAUGCUAUAGCUUUUGUGUUUCAUUUGCAAGCUAUCACAAGGAGGAACUGGCUGGUAGUAGUAAAAGAUUUUACCUAGUAAGCUUAUGAUUCUAUACGCAUUGCCCACCUUCUCUGGUAACUUGGAAUAUCAACCUUAGCAAAGUCCUUCACAAGCCUUCCAAGUCUUCAAUACUAUACAUUCCUGCAUAGCAGAAAAUAACAUUGCAUGAGUUAGUUUACCUUUUCCUUGCUAGAGCAAAAGGAUCAAAAGAAUUACAGAGGGGAGACUUCAUCUCCCAAAAUGGGAAGCAAAUACUUCUUACUGCAGGAGAGUGUUUGAAGAUCAAGGCUUGAAAGAAAAGAAGACCACUUUUCUUAGUUUUUAAAGUAAUUUUUAAAAUUUCACUCUGGCUUAAUGGUCAUCAAGAUCAAUUCAAAAAAUUACAAAAGAAAAAAAAAAAGGAAAGAAGGAAGGAAGUACAAGGAAGGGUAAAGGGGCCAGGACCCUGGUGCCAUCUAUUAGCCAAGUGAGCUAACCUAGAGAAGGACCUUGCAAGGGGCUUGGCUGCAAAUGCUCAGAUAUCUGUCUUUUCUAGCUCACCAUCCAGCCUCCGCAUGAGGGAGCAUCUCUUGUUGGCCAUGCUACUUAACUGUACCAGCACUUCGUAGCUUGACUGCUCUGUAGUACCAAAGUUGGUAUAUGCCAUGAGAUCCUUACUCAAUCCUAGUAGAGAAAAAAGAGCCCCCAUCUGCACUUUAGACAGAUGAACUGAAUAAGUUUCAAACCCCAGAGCUAGGACUGCAGUCCUGAGACCCUAUAACCUGUAUGACUAGAGAAGUGAAACUAUGAUUUAGUUUCUUAUUAGAGCUUCGACUUCCGUAUAUUCCUAUGCCUAAGCUGGAUGAACUAAUAAACCUCACAGUAGACUGAGGCUCUUACACAAGUAGCUAUAGCUAGUCAUAGUCCAUUAUCUCUGCAAAUAAAACCUCCACGUACUUCCAACCAUUUACCUCUCCUUCCACCACUACCUCUUGAUUCCACCCUGACAGAAGCAAACUUGCAAAGUCCCAUUGCAAGGUAUUUACUUUAGCUCCCCAAAUAGGAUUGUAA